GGAGGUUCUUGGGUGAUGCAACCAAAAAUCAGGCGCCCUCCUCGCUGGUUCUGGGUGCAUCACCUGAGAACCACA
This is a non-coding RNA of Myotis davidii, 75 nucleotides long. The record is from Rfam. Lineage: Eukaryota; Metazoa; Chordata; Mammalia; Chiroptera; Vespertilionidae.